GAUGAAGAACGCAGCGAAAUGCGAUACUUGGUGUGAUUUGCAGAAUCCCGUGAACCAUCGAGUCUUUGAACGCAAGUUGCGCCCGAAGCCAUUAGGCCGAGGGCACGCCUGCCUGGGCGUCACACGUCGUUGCCCCCCCAUCUACUCCUUCGGGAUUGCGGGGGGCGGAUGAUGGCCUCCCGUGCGCCUCGUCGCGCGGUUGGCAUAAAUGCCAAGUCCUCGGCGACGCACGCCACGACAAUCGGUGGUUGCGAAACCUCGGUUGCCCGUCGUGUGCGGUCGUCGCGCAUCGAGGGCUCGAAAAAAUUGCCGGGCUCCGGCUCGGCUUUCAACGCGACCCCAGGUCAGGCGGGGUUACCCGCUGAAUUUAAGCAUAUCAAUAAGCGGAGGA
RNAcentral lists this unclassified non-coding RNA (391 nucleotides) under soil metagenome. Its description in RNAcentral is "partial contains 5.8S ribosomal RNA, internal transcribed spacer 2, and large subunit ribosomal RNA". The stretch from base 1 to 122 matches the Rfam family "5.8S ribosomal RNA", at positions 35 to 154 of the family's 154-position model. The record is from RNAcentral.